RNAcentral lists this ribosomal RNA (478 nucleotides) under uncultured bacterium. Its description in RNAcentral is "partial 16S ribosomal RNA". It matches the Rfam family "Bacterial small subunit ribosomal RNA", at positions 28 to 523 of the family's 1533-position model. The record is from RNAcentral.
GACGAACGCUGGCGGCGUGCUUAACACAUGCAAGUCGAACGGUAAGGCCCUUCGGGGUACAUGAGUGGCGAACGGGUGAGUAACACGUGGGUGAUCUGCCCUGCACUUCGGGAUAAGCCUGGGAAACUGGGUCUAAUACCGGAUAGGACUCCUGCCUGCAUGGGUGGGGGUGGAAAGCUUUUGCGGUGUGGGAUGGGCCCGCGGCCUAUCAGCUUGUUGGUGGGGUGAUGGCCUACCAAGGCGACGACGGGUAGCCGGCCGGAGAGGGUGACCGGACACACUGGGACUGCGAUACGGCCCAGACUCCUACGGGAGGCAGCAGUGGGGAAUAUUGCACAAUGGGCGCAAGCCUGAUGCAGCGACGCCGCGUGAGGGAUGACGGCCUUCGGGUUGUAAACCUCUUUCAGCACAGACGAAGCGCAAGUGACGGUAUGUGCAGAAGAAGGACCGGCCAACUACGUGCCAGCCGCCGCAGUAA